Molecule: ribosomal RNA, 397 nt
Filed under: uncultured bacterium
Lineage: Bacteria
Description: partial 16S ribosomal RNA
Rfam family: Bacterial small subunit ribosomal RNA
Source: RNAcentral
AUACGUAGGGGGCGAGCGUUGUCCGGAAUGAUUGGGCGUAAAGGGCGCGUAGGCGGCCCGGUAAGUCUGGAGUGAAAGUCCUGUUUUUAAGAUGGGAAUUGCUUUGGAUACUGUCGGGCUUGAGUGCAGGAGAGGUAAGUGGAAUUCCCAGUGUAGCGGUGAAAUGCGUAGAGAUUGGGAGGAACACCAGUGGCGAAGGCGAAUUACUGGACUGUAACUGACGCUGAGGCGCGAAAGUGUGGGGAGCAAACAGGAUUAGAUACCCUGGUAGUCCACACUGUAAACGAUGAAUGCUAGGUGUAGGGGGUAUCGACCCCUUCUGUGCCGCAGUCAACACAAUAAGCAUUCCGCCUGGGGAGUACGGCCGCAAGGUUGAAACUCAAAUGAAUUGACGGGG